Molecule: long non-coding RNA, 2397 nt
Organism: Cyprinus carpio carpio
Lineage: Eukaryota; Metazoa; Chordata; Actinopteri; Cypriniformes; Cyprinidae
Source: Ensembl
CAGUUUAAACCAAUUUUGACUUCUGAAUUUCAGCAAAAUAGAGCACCGAUCAAGUCUACUUAUAAAGCUUAAUUCAGGAUAGCAUGCUAGUAUAUUGUUUUAACUUACGAGUAAGAAUAAUGGCUAUAUGCAAUUCUGAAUUCAUCCUGGGUAAGCCAUUUUAACAGGCCUGACAUAGCAACAUUGGCUCAGCCAAUGACGUGGGUUUAGGGUGGGACUAUCAUUUUGUUUGACCAAUAGCAGAUAAGAGAAUCUUUCGGGAAACCUGUUUAAAAGUUACAUUUUUACCAUGCAGUUCAUUUUGGUGCUAUAAUGGAGAAGACAUUAUACACUUCAACUUUUUGUUUUUACUAUAAUAUUUUUUUAACAACAACAUAGCAUGAUCAUGGGCCUUGAUUUUUAUUAUUUUAUUCAUGCUUGUGUUGUGAGUUUAUGUCGUGUCACCAACAGGAUCUCAGAGUGUCUGUGAUAAAACUGAUCACAACAUUAUUAAGUCUCAUCCACCACAACCAGCACAGGUCAGAACAUACUGUAUAUUUGCUUUCAAGUCAUUCAUUCAUUUUAAUUUUGAUUCUAAUUACGAGCAUUCAACUCACAGGGAUGGCAACCAAUGACCCUUGCUAUAGGGGCUGAUGUGAAUCCUGCCAAACAUGCAUGAAAGACAUACAAAACUGAGACAGGGAAUGAAGAGAUGGGCCUGUCCGCUGCUGUUCCACUCCCAGCCUGGGAGGGCACUGUGGCACCAUCAAAACACUACAGGGACACAUGAAAGGUCUCCUGCGGGCACAGAUGAUGCUCAGUCGCCAAGCAACCAAGAAGCGGCAAGCUCAGCAGAGGGUGCUUUAGGAAAAGUCGAGGGAAACAGAAGAGGGUGUACACCUCUUAUCUGGAAGGAGGACAGAGGGUUUGUCUUGUGUCCAGGCCAAUGCAACAAAACAUCUUCUGUGAUGAGUCUGAAGGACAGAUUCUGGAUGUAAGGGAGCUGUUGCAGCCAAGUCCACAGGUGACAGACCCAAACAUGGGAGAUACAAUGAGUGGCAAACCACUAAUGAAAAAUGGAAUUAAAAGACCAGAAAUGUAGAGGUCUGGGGAAGGAAUGUUGUCAUAAGAAUUCCCUGAAUUCUCCAAGGAGCAGAACAAAUCUGGACAAAGGUGUGACAGGAACUUUGCAAAGGAAUUGCAAUGCAAACAUGUUACUUUGGCAUAGUGAAAACGAGUAUAGACAUUACUCUGGUUCCUUCAUGAAAAUAGAUCUACAGGAAGAAUGGGAAAUUACCAAGAGGCCUUUACAGCCAGACUCCGAAAAGCACAGUUAGUCUGAGAUUACAUGAAGGAAUUUUUCAAUCUAAUUUGUAAUGCAUCUGUGGUAUGUUGUCUAUUACUCAGACAACAUUAACUCAUCCUUCGGUUUAUAAAUGAUAGGGAAAUGUGAUUACAGUCGUACACUUCUAGCAAGCAAGCAGGCCAUACCUGUUUAUAAUUCCUGUGGAGUCUGCAGAAUUCAAGUGCAAGUCAACAGUGCUUUACAGAUACACUUUGAUCGUUACAUUUCUAGCCAGGUGUAUAUUGGAGGAAUUUAAUCUGGAAUAGUUCUUUAACAGGAUUGAUAGUGUAACCAGGGCUGCUGAAGCAAAGGUUGCAAGUUCAAUCCCGAUUUUACAAAUUUGCUUGUCCUAUGAUGCUUGGGCCUAUUUGAGCAUCUCAGACUGCAGGGAAACACCUUGGAUGCACAGCCAGUCCAUCGCAAGUCUAACAAACACUCCCACAUGAGCGGCAGUUUAUUGAUUUCAAUUCACCUGUCUCACAUGUAUUUGGAUUGUAGAGGAAUCUGGAGCACCUGGAGGAAACCAACACCAAGAAAAAACUCGACACAGAAUGUCCUGCUGACUCAAGAGUCUCGAACUUGGGGACCUUCUAGUUGUGAGAAGGCAGUACAACAAUCCCAAGAACCAGAAUCUCAGAUGUUUAAGCCAUUAGAUCAUACUCCCCAUGCAACCAAAUUAUGUAACCCAUUUCCUCCCAUUAUUUUGUCCAAUAUAAAAAGGUGUUCCAUGUAAUGUUUACGAUGAUUUUCUAUCCUGUAGGCAUUGGUCUUUUUCAACUAGGCAAAAUGUUUGAGAUAAAGGAAUAUCCCACCCAAAAAUUUUAAUUUGUUUAAAAUUUACUCAGCCCAAACAAGAUUUCAAGUUUCUUUAUCAAAACAGUUCUAGAAAAAAAAUGUACAUCUCUUGCCCACCAAUGGAUCCUCAGCCUAAGUAAAUCUUAUGCAAUUUUUUAUUUUUGGGUGAACUAUCCAGACAGAUAUGUUAAAGUCAUUCCACAAUACUUUAUUCCCCCAGCCUAAAAACAGGAAUUUUUUUUUUUUAAUAAAACCAUCAGGAAAAGGUUGAAGUGGUU